This 253-nucleotide ribosomal RNA is filed under the name uncultured bacterium. RNAcentral describes it as "partial 16S ribosomal RNA". It matches the Rfam family "Bacterial small subunit ribosomal RNA", at positions 524 to 776 of the family's 1533-position model. The record is from RNAcentral.
UACGGAGGGUGCAAGCGUUAUCCGGAUUCACUGGGUUUAAAGGGUGUGUAGGCGGGCUGUUAAGUCAGUGGUGAAAUCUCCAGGCUCAACCUGGAAACUGCCAUUGAUACUAUCAGUCUUGAAUAUCGUUGAGGUGGGCAGAAUAUGUCAUGUAGCGGUGAAAUGCAUAGAUAUGACAUAGAAUACCGAUUGCGAAGGCAGCUCACUAAGCGUGUAUUGACGCUGAGGCACGAAAGCGUGGGGAUCAAACAGG